GACGAACGCUGGCGGCGUGCCUAAUACAUGCAAGUAGAACGCUGAAGGAGGAGCUUGCUCUUCUGGAUGAGUUGCGAACGGGUGAGUAACGCGUAGGUAACCUGCCUGGUAGCGGGGGAUAACUAUUGGAAACGAUAGCUAAUACCGCAUAAGAGUAGAUGUUGCAUGACAUUUACUUAAAAGGUGCAAUUGCAUCACUACCAGAUGGACCUGCGUUGUAUUAGCUAGUUGGUGGGGUAACGGCUUACCAAGGCGACGAUACAUAGCCGACCUGAGAGGGGGAUCGGCCACACUGGGACUGAGACACGGCCCAGACUCCUACGGGAGGCAGCAGUAGGGAAUCUUCGGCAAUGGACGGAAGUCUGACCGAGCAACGCCGCGUGAGUGAAGAAGGGUUUCGGGUCGUAAAGCUCUGUUGUAAGAGAAGAACGAGUGUGAGAGUGGAAAGUUCACACUGUGACGGUAUCUUACCAGAAAGGGACGGCUAACUACGUG
This 495-nucleotide ribosomal RNA is filed under the name uncultured bacterium. RNAcentral describes it as "partial 16S ribosomal RNA". It matches the Rfam family "Bacterial small subunit ribosomal RNA", at positions 28 to 507 of the family's 1533-position model. The record is from RNAcentral.